UACGAAGGGGGCGAGCGUUGUUCGGAUUUACUGGGCGUAAAGGGCGCGCAGGCGGCUAUCCAAGUCAGGCGUGAAAGCCCCGGGCUUAACCUGGGAGGUGCGUCUGGGACUGGGUGGCUAGAGUUCGGGAGAGGAGAGUGGAAUUCCCAGUGUAGAGGUGAAAUUCGUAGAUAUUGGGAAGAACACCGGUGGCGAAGGCGGCUAUCUGGACCGACAUUGACGCUGAGGCGCGAAAGCGUGGGGAGCAAACAGG
RNAcentral lists this ribosomal RNA (253 nucleotides) under uncultured bacterium. RNAcentral describes it as "partial 16S ribosomal RNA". It matches the Rfam family "Bacterial small subunit ribosomal RNA", at positions 524 to 776 of the family's 1533-position model. The record is from RNAcentral.